Molecule: ribosomal RNA, 253 nt
Filed under: uncultured bacterium
Lineage: Bacteria
Description: partial 16S ribosomal RNA
Rfam family: Bacterial small subunit ribosomal RNA
Source: RNAcentral
GACAGAGGUGGCGAGCGUUAAUCGGAAUUACUGGGCGUAAAGCGUACGCAGGCGGCUAGGUAAGACAGGUGUGAAAUCCCCGGGCCUAACCUGGGAACUGCAUUUGUGACUGCCUGGCUAGAGUCUGUCAGAGGGGGGUGGAAUUCCACGUGUAGCAGUGAAAUGCGUAGAGAUGUGGAGGAACACCGAUGGCGAAGGCAGCCCCCUGGGAUGAGACUGACGCUCAUGUACGAAAGCGUGGGGAGCAAACAGG